UGUUCUCCAGGAGUGUAGAGUAUCACUGGUGUCUUGAUACUUCACAAUAUGUCAGACAAAAGAGUUUGCAAAGUCAUUGCCUUUUUAUGUCCGGAGGUACAAUUCCAAUUAAUGCAAAAGAGAAUACUGACAGACAACAACGAGUGUAUGAAUAACAAAUUUCCACGCCAGACAAACAUACUUGUAAUGAUGGAACCUUCAAUGUGCUAUCAUCAUUCAAUCUGACAAACAUUAAUUUCUCAUCAUGUUUUUGCAAGAUCAGACAGGAGAAGCAAAUGUACCUGCAGC
Molecule: long non-coding RNA, 288 nt
Organism: Rhinichthys klamathensis goyatoka
Lineage: Eukaryota; Metazoa; Chordata; Actinopteri; Cypriniformes; Leuciscidae
Exons: 3
Source: RefSeq, a predicted model, not a curated record